RNAcentral lists this ribosomal RNA (435 nucleotides) under uncultured bacterium. Its description in RNAcentral is "bacterial SSU rRNA". It matches the Rfam family "Bacterial small subunit ribosomal RNA", at positions 366 to 793 of the family's 1533-position model. The record is from RNAcentral.
GCACAAUGGGCGCAAGCCUGAUGCAGCCAUGCCGCGUGUAUGAAGAAGGCCUUCGGGUUGUAAAGUACUUUCAGCAGUGAGGAAGGUUCAUGCGUUAAUAGCGUAUGGAUUUGACGUUAGCUGCAGAAGAAGCACCGGCUAACUCCGUGCCAGCAGCCGCGGUAAUACGGAGGGUGCGAGCGUUAAUCGGAAUUACUGGGCGUAAAGCGCAUGCAGGUGGUUUGUUAAGUCAGAUGUGAAAGCCCGGGGCUCAACCUCGGAAUUGCAUUUGAAACUGGCAGACUAGAGUACUGUAGAGGGGGUAGAAUUUCAGGUGUAGCGGUGAAAAUGCGUAGAGAUCUGAAGGAAUACCGGUGGCGAAGGCGGCCCCCUGGACAGAUACUGACACUCAGAUGCGAAAGCGUGGGGAGCAAACAGGAUUAGAUACCCUGGUAG